This 416-nucleotide long non-coding RNA is filed under the name Sorghum bicolor (sorghum). RNAcentral's name for it is "long non-coding RNA (SBIC_LNC003480)". Lineage: Eukaryota; Viridiplantae; Streptophyta; Magnoliopsida; Poales; Poaceae. The record is from RNAcentral.
AUCAAUUAGUGCAUAUAUGUGGUAGCUACUAGCUAGACAAUAGAGAUUUGUGUAACUCAAAAGGAUGGAGUACUAGCAAAAUUAAUUAAAAUCUACAAAUUAAACACUUGUGCGCGAUUGAACGAAUGCUACCAAGUCACCGUUUACAAAAUUAAAAUUGAAGUCCUACAAGAAUGACCGUACCACACAUCUUUCGACUGGAUUACAACCUGGGGACUAUUAAUUAAGCCUCUUUCACAUGAUAAAGUUAAUAGUAGAUGAAGUCAAUGAAACUUAAUUUUAGGCAAAACUAGAGCGUCAUAUAUUUUGGAGCAUACAUAAUAUGAUACUCCCUCUAUACUUAUAUAAAAAAGUCAUUUUAGACAAAGAUUGAGUGAAACAUUGAAAAUAUAAAUCAUGAAUAAGUUUUAAGUUGU